This 5549-nucleotide unclassified non-coding RNA is filed under the name Leishmania donovani. Its description in RNAcentral is "gene:LdHU3.22.1540(CDS-product:WD_domain_G-beta_r epeat_putative)". The record is from RNAcentral. Lineage: Eukaryota; Euglenozoa; Kinetoplastea; Trypanosomatida; Trypanosomatidae.
AGGAGUGUGUCAAUGUGCGUGUACAUUCUUACGGCUCCCUGCACAUUCUAACCACCACCACCACCACCACGGCAGCUGCAGCCACCGCUGAUCCUCUGUGCCGUGAACUGCUUCAAUGUAUUGCCUUUUUCUCUGCUCCCUUUCUUCCGUGCAUGUUCGGCAGCAUACACACACGCCGACUUGAUAGUGACGAUGCAUUACAGCACCCCCUCGACUGCCCCACCGCCCCAGCAACUCCCAUCACCGACGGAGGCGGCUCGUGCGCGCGCCCUCCGUGCUGAGGCACGCCUGCGCACCGUCCUCCAACAGGUGAGCGCGCUUCGCUGUGCGCAGCAGGAAGGAGGUGGAGAUCACGUUAGCCAGCACCGUGACCCGGUGGCCGGAGCGGCGGAGGCAACGUCAGAAUUGUCUCAGGCGUCUUCCUCCCCACCCGCUCAUCGCAAUGCUGCGCCAACUGCGGCCGCAGCAGCAGCGUCGUCGCCCCCUCCCUGCCCGCUGGUCCUCGAGUUCCCUCUCGCCCCGCUGGAGCAGCGAGUGAAGCAGAAGAAGGUGCGCGAUGCCACUCGCCAGCAGCGUCGAGAUGCUCGCCAAGCGGCGGCCGCCGCAGCGGCGCCGACGACGACGGCAUCGGCGACGGCGGCGAACAUGGUGCGCAACGCGCUGUCGCAGCCUCUUGGCGUCGUAGCUGCUCGCUUCCUCUCCGCUGCAGCAUCUGGGGCUCCAUCGAUCUUCCCGGAUGUGGCCAUUACUUCCACCAGCGCCGCCGACGGUCACAUGAGCGACUGGCUUGCCUCGACACCGCCGCCAGCGGCAGCUCAGAUGUCACACGCUUUGCCGUCGACCGCCACCACUUCAGGCCCGUGCCCCGGCACCUCUCCGCACCGUGCAGGCCGUGGCAAGCAUACUGCCCCUCCCAGCCCUGCAAGCAGCAUGCACGAGAUUCCCCAUCAGUCGCCCCCGCCGCAUGAGCGAGGUCAGCGCUGUCGGUGCGGCCACUCUCCCCAUCGGCACCAGCGACUUCUGUCAAGUGUGUCCGCCUCUCGUCACUCGCGGGACAGCGCCGGCGACAGCCCGAGCCCGCUCGCGCUGCUACUUCGGACGCCGCCCUCCGUGAGUGGCAGUCAGGGUCCCCCUCACCGCCAUCAGCCCUCGCUCCAUCACCCAGAGCAGGAAGACCGACAUCGCCACCAUCGACGGCAUCAUCACCACCAUCAUCGGUGGUGUUGCGGCGCCCGUGAGGCGGUGAGUAGUGCUCCAGCUCCAACUCAAAGUGCCACCAUUAACGCGAUGUCCAAGCGCAAGCAGGUGCGGCCGUCGUUGCGGCAUCAGGGCAGCACGCCAACGACGAAGACAUCGCACCCCGCAGGCGUCUUCGGCAACAGCUCUAUCAGUUUCCUCGCGCGGACGCUGCGCGAGGCUGGCACUGCGGCGCUGGCGGCCUCGCCUCUGACUAGGAGUGAAAUGCGGCACACCCCCGCUGCCGGCCACCGCCACGCCGGUCAUUACCGUGGCAGUCGGCUUAGAGAGAAGCUAGAGCGGAGUAGCGAGGGUGUCAACGUCAGCGUCGCGGCGUCUUCGCCUACGCGCACUCGCUGGCCCGCGUCGCCGGGGCCGUCCCACAGCGGCAGCAGUUCCCACGCCGCAGACGGGUGCCUCCCCCACUCCUCACACUCCUCAUGCAACUUCUCGUGUGUAUGCUCGAGGUCCGGCUGUGACAGCUGGAGCGGCAGUGCGGCCUCGUGGAGCGCCAGCAGUUCGCGGACGUCUUUCGCGCGUGGGGUUCGCUCGCCACCGUCGGAGCCGUUCACGCCGCUGACUAUUCCUCUAGACGGCCGCUACGACCCGCAUGCGCCGCUGCUGCCCCUCAUGGGGUGCUACGGCGACACUCCCACGCGCGAGGUGUUCUGCCGCGUGCCAUCUACGUCGACACAGCACACCGCAAGCCGCUCCUCAACACCGAUGUCCUCGGAGUGGUCCAUAGAGUCGUCCAGCACCGCCCAAACCGCCGUGGGCGCAGCAGAAGCAGCGCCGGUUGCUGGCUUCUGCGCACUGAACGCGCCUGGAGAAGCUGUGAGCACGGCCGCUCGGGCACAGGGCAGCGAGGAGCCUGUGAAGAGGCAGCGAGAGCAGCAGCUCGAGAGCCAGCACCGCCGGCGCUCGAUGCUUUUCUCCUCUACGGCCAACACGCAGCAGAGCUACAUGGCGGAGAUGGACGCCAUCGAACGUGGGGUGGUGGCCCCGUACGUGUCUUACCUCUUCUCGCCCGAGGCACGUGUGAUCGACCUCCGCCAGCUGAAGGGCCGCGCGCGCCUUUGCGACCCGGCGCCAGCGCUGGAAGCGACGUGUCUCGGAUUCUCGCGCGCCGCGGAUGAGUACUUGGUCGGGACGUCGUCGGGCCUGCUCUGGCGGGUGCCCGCCGGUGGCGGUGCGGAGGCGAUGCGAGCAACGCCUCUCGGCAGUCUCUGGCCCCCGUACGCGCCGACGAGCGCGAACCCGGCCGCCACUGCCGCCUCGGGCACCACCACAGGGGCGGGAGACUCCUCAGGUGCGGUCGGCGACGCGCCGGGCGGCGGUCCCUCAAAGCUGCUGCCCGUCCCCCUCGCCGGCCACACGGCAGCCAUCCUCUCCAUCGCCUUCAACGACGACGGGGCCUUGUUCGCGACGACAGGGAUGGACGGGUGCGUGAUCGUGUGGAACGCCAGCACGAGCGCCAAGCUGCGCCGCAUCAGCGCUGUGUGGGCAUCCUCAACGUCGCCAUCGUCGGCAGCGGCAUCGACUUCCAUGUAUGCCGACGUCGACGGCGCGGCCAGUCAGCGUGCGCCGCACCUCGUCCACUUCAUGCCACAGAACAACAACUACCUCCUGGUCAGCUACCUCGGCAGCAGCGAGCUGCAUCUUUACAACAGCUCCACAGGGCUACCUGUGACAAACGUCGCUGGCGCCGCACUGGCACGCGCUGCGGCGAGCACGGUAAAGGUCCAUCACAAGAGUGCCGUGGGGAGCCACAGCAGAGGCAGGGCCGGCGCCGGGUCUGCCGCAUCGUCAGGGGCCAUCACCGCCCUCGCUGUCGACCCUGUCGCCUCGCCCUUCUUCUUCUCAGGCGAUGCCGGCGGUACUGUUGUGAUGUGGACGUACCGCGCCGGCGACGUCGUGGCCAGGGCAACCCUGCGCACCACCACCGCUGCCUCCUCCCCCACCGCUUUGGCCGGCAGCGGCGCGGGCAAGCACGCUCGCACCCCGACCUACGUGGUCGAUCCCCUCCUGCACGGCACCCACGGCACGGUCGGCAGCAGUGGUGACGGCAUGGCAGCCUUCUCGACCCCGCUCUACCAGCUCCCGGAGCUUCGUCGUGUCACGGCACUCGCGCUGCCGGAGCAGCUGGGCGGCAUCGCCGCGUUGGGGGUUAGCACCCUCCACAUAUCGCAGCUGCACAGCCUCUUCCGCCGCUGUGGGCCACGGCGGGGUGCAGCGUCGGCGCAGAGCACGAGCGAUGGCGGUGCCGUUGGUCCGCGACCCGCUCCACGACACCCAUUCGAGUCAGCCGCGGAGGUCUUCCGCGCAGUGGCGCAGCAGAAUCGCGCGUGCUGGACGGCGGCGCUGCCGGGUGCUGCUGCCGCGGAUGGCGUUGCUCGAAAUCAACGCGAUUCUCGCGGCAGAAGCGACGCGCACCCGCAGGCCGCCCUGCACGGCGGGCCCGCCGCCUUCACUGCCGUCACAGUCACAAGCGACGACAACAGCAGCCUCCCGCAGGUCCUCGCCAGAUGGCCGUCGCGUCUGUCGGAGACGUUCUCGGCGCUCUGGAGGGGCGGUGACGGUGCACCUCCGUCCGCGGCCCACUCUGGUCUUGCACCUGCAAGGCACGAACGGAAGCUAGCAUCGACGGCAGCGAAGGGGUCCAUGGCAGCUGCAUCCACCGCCGGCGCUGCCGCACCUGCCACCGCACCCUCCGAAGGCGAUUUUCUUCACCAGUUGCGCGACGACGCUCUCGAUGCUGUCUGUCCAUUGCUCGUACUUGUUACGCUACCGUGUGAUACCAUCUACGCCCUUGGGGUGCUCCUGCAGCUCCAGCCCGGUGGUCGACGCGGCAGCGCCGGAGGCAGAGGGGGCGUGGUCGCUGCAGGAACUCCACAGGUCAGCUACUGUCUGUACCCCCUCUUGAAGACGACGAGCCCAAGUCGGCUGCGGCACCUCGGUGUUGGCGCGGUGCAGUCCCCUGAUAACCCGCGGUUGAUCGUCGUCGCUACGCCGUGCGAGGAAGGCUUCGUGCGGGUGGAGCCGCUGCUGCACGUUGCGACACCGUCACCGUCAGUGCAGCGCACACCCCCAGCUGGCGUGUCCGCAAUCCCCACCCCGGGUGUAGGCUCUCUGCAGCCUGGCAACAAGGCGGCGGCGUACGACGACGGCAGACACCGCAGUCACAGUCACGUGCUUGCCACGUUGCCCAUGCCGUACGGUGGGCGCUGUACCGGUGUUGCGUGGUCGCCGAACGGCCGCUUCCUUGUGGCCAUCACCGCCGAGGGCGUCAUUUACCAGUGGGCACGCGUGUACCUGCUGGGCCCAUCCUCCCCCUCGGCCAACGCCGCCGCAGCAGCAGCGACUGCAGCGAAGGGGAACGUGGCGCCGGUCGGCGGCCGUGACGGUGUAGCCCCUGCCCAUGGCAUGGCACCAGCCGAGGGCGAAGUGGAGGUGAGGUCCUCGCCAGCAGUGGGUGCGGCUGCCGCGGCAGCGGCCCGGCGUCGCGGCUGCGCCACGGAGCGGUCAGACACGAUGAACGGGGUGGCGUUGCCGGCGGCGCAUUUCACUGGCCUUCUUGGGGCUCCGAUGGCAAGCGCGGCGGCAUCGCCACCGGGUCUGGCGGCGGGCGAAAAUGCUGCUGCGCGUGCCGCCUUCAGCGAGGAGGAUGCGUGGCGGAAAAGCCUCCAUCGUGAGCUAGAGCGACAGCGGCGCGCGCAGGCGGCCCUGAAGCUUGUGGCACAUGUCAGGGCUGGUGGGGAAGACGGCGCCAUGAGCAGCAGCGGCUACUGGCUGGACGAUGACGAUGCGGCGAACUCGGCGGUCACGGAGGACUGGCUCGAGGGUGACGAAACGGAGUCUUAGCUGUGAAUUCUCUCGCAUCUGCGCGUGCGUGAAUCGGUGUCGUGUGCAUGUGUGUCUCUACCUCUGUGUGCUUUCUCUAGUCGCACUUCGCUUGCCGCUACGCACAAGUGAUCCGGUCGUCUUCUGUAUUGCUCUACGCCAUCGUCAGCGUUCUUGGACGGCCCGCGCCUUCUCGCUGCAUCUGCAGGCGAGCUUUCAGCUCGAUGGCGACUGUCAACGGCGUCGAUGCGCUGACGUCGCGGCAUUGACGCACACACACGUGCGCACACACCGACACGAACCCACUCACUCAUCUGAUCAUCUCCUUUCUCUCCGCCUGCCUGCCUUGCCUGCUGCGGCGUCGGAAAUCGCACGCGCGCACAUCCGCGCCUCUCCUGCGAAUUGCACGAUGCCGCCCGCAUGUGCGCGUCUUGUGUACCUCUUUCCUUUGUUGUUUGCCCCGCCUAUUCCAG